This 433-nucleotide ribosomal RNA is filed under the name uncultured bacterium. RNAcentral's name for it is "bacterial SSU rRNA". It matches the Rfam family "Bacterial small subunit ribosomal RNA", at positions 29 to 507 of the family's 1533-position model. The record is from RNAcentral.
AACGAACGCUGGCGGCAUGCCUAACACAUGCAAGUCGAACGAACCCUUCGGGGUUAGUGGCGCACGGGUGCGUAACGCGUGGGAACCUGCCUUUAGGUUCGGAAUAACAGUUAGAAAUGACUGCUAAUACCGGAUGAUGUCUUCGGACCAAAGAUUUAUCACCUUUAGAUGGGCCCGCGUUGGAUUAGCUAGUUGGUGGGGUAAAGGCCUACCAAGGCGACGAUCCAUAGCUGGUCUGAGAGGAUGAUCAGCCACACUGGGACUGAGACACGGCCCAGACUCCUACGGGAGGCAGCAGUGGGGAAUAUUGGACAAUGGGCGAAAGCCUGAUCCAGCAAUGCCGCGUGAGUGAUGAAGGCCUUAGGGUUGUAAAGCUCUUUUACCAGGGAUGAUAAUGACAGUACCUGGAGAAUAAGCUCCGGCUAACUCCGUG